UGGGGAAUAUUGCACAAUGGACGGAAGUCUGAUGCAGCAACGCCGCGUGCGGGAUGACGGCCUUCGGGUUGUAAACCGCUUUUUCUCAUGACGAAGUUUUUUGACGGUAGUGGGGGAAGAAGCACCGGCUAACUACGUGCCAGCAGCCGCGGUGAUACGUAGGGUGCGAGCGUUGUCCGGAAUUAUUGGGCGUAAAGGGUUCGCAGGCGGAAAUGCAAGUCAGGUGUAAAAGGCAGUAGCUUAACUACUGUAAGCAUUUGAAACUGCAUAUCUUGAGAAGAGUAGAGGUAAGUGGAGUUUUUAGUGUAGCGGUGAAAUGCGUAGAUAUUAAAAAGAAUACCGGUGGCGAAGGCGACUUACUGGGCUCAUUCUGACGCUGAGGAACGAAAGCGUGGGUAGCAAACAGG
This 407-nucleotide ribosomal RNA is filed under the name Fusobacteriota bacterium. RNAcentral describes it as "Fusobacteria bacterium partial 16S ribosomal RNA". It matches the Rfam family "Bacterial small subunit ribosomal RNA", at positions 355 to 776 of the family's 1533-position model. Lineage: Bacteria; Fusobacteriati; Fusobacteriota. The record is from RNAcentral.